ACCUCUUAAAGGGUAACCCACAUGAAAAAAACUCUCUCAAUGGUCUCGUGGUAAAUAACUCAUCUAACUCCCUUGCAUUCUCCACCAGAUCAACCAUCACAUUCCACCACUCAACAAACAAGAUUUUCACCUCUUUCUUUUCGAAGCUUAGUUGCUUUAGAAAAAAAUUAUCAACACAAAAAUGCUCAUGAGGAUGGCAAGAAAGUGGCGGUGAGUAGCAGCCCUCAAAAGGAAAAGAAUUUCGUUGCCAAGAUCAAGUGGAGAUGCAAACCAAACUGCUAAAAAUGCAAAGUUAGUGGCAGAUAAAGGCAAUUUUGUUGUUUACGCAGUUGAUGAAUGACGUUUUGUCUUCCCUAUAGCGUAUCUAAACAAUCCCAUUAUUAGAGAACUUUUCAAGAUGUCCGAGGAAGUAUUUGGUCUACCAAGUGAUGGACCAAUAAUGUUGCCUUGUGAGGCAGCCUUCAUGGAGUAUGUAGAUUCUUUGAUUCAACAAUGUGUUGACAGAAAUUCUGAGAAAGCACUGCUAGUGUCAAUUGUUAGUAAUAGAUGUGCAUUGUCGAAUUCUCUGCAUCAAGGACAGAGUCUCCAGCAGUUACUUGUCUUAUCAGCAGGCGGCUACAGUAGCAUUCUCUUUCGAGUGAGUUCACAUUUCUUUGCGGCGUUUGACAACGAGUCAAUGACUACAUUUUAAACGAAUCAUGAUCGUUUGGAAAGGAACUUCAGCAAAGACAUUUUUAUACCAGCCGUUCUUAUGUAAAACGUUUUUUGCUUGUCUUACAAAUUCCUGAAGUCCUGUUUUUUUCCCUCAUUGUCCCUCCAUUAAAAAAACACAGAGAUACGAGAGGCGACGGGCUGGGAAGAAGGAGAAGCGAGGCCGAGAAAGGUGAGAGAUGGUGGAGGAAAAUGAAAAGAAAAACAGAAGCAGGGGAGACGAGAGGCGAGGGGGCUGAGAAGAAGGAAAAGCAAGGCCGAGAAGGUUGAGAGAUGGUGGAGCAAAAAGAAAAGAAAUACAGAAACAGGGGAUUAGGAAUUAAAAUGCAGAGGGAAAGGAAAAAAGAAAGGAGGGAGAGGAGGAGUUUGCAGUCAAAGAUCAGAAGCAUGUUGGAAGCAAUGUCGUGAUGUCAGCUUUGCGAAGCUCACAGGGGCACAGUAAGUGACACAAGGUUUCAAGCAACAGAAGGGGUCGAUUAUGAUGAAAUUUACAGACGGGUGGUCAAGCCAGUCUUACAUUCAGAUAAUUUUCUCCUGCUGUCUCUUUUCGGCGGCUUUGAGGAUUUCUAAAUGUACCAGCUACGUGGCUUUGAAGAUCCUAAGCAUCUGGAUUACGUGUGCGAAUUACAUAAAUGAUUAUACAGCCUCAAGCUUUAGUUUACCCUGGAUAUUUGCUACGGCUCAGUCAUAAGAAGUUCGCAUCGAGGAGUGUUUCUAUGGAUCAUUGGAAUGGACCGUGGAUUGUGGAGCAUGUAUGGAACCUUAAUGAUUAAAGAAUCAAUGAAUAUAAAUAUUUUCUCCUGGUUCUAUCUAAAUGUAUUCCCAAUGGGUUGAAGAUUAUCCUAUUUAGAGCUUAACUCUAGAGAAUUUUUAUGUAAAGUACUUCCACUUUCAUUUGGCUGAGAAAGAUGAACAUUGUAUAGAGAUACCAUAAAGGCAGAUUUGGAAGGUUAAAGCUUCGUCUAGAGUGGCUUUUUCUGUUUUAUAGGCAAUUAGAGAGUGUAUUUUAAUUCUAGACAAGUUGAUCUUAGGAGAGAGAAUAUUUGUUAAUGGUUAUUUCCUGAGCAGGAGUGAUGCAGAAUCAUACAAGCAUUUUCUACUGUGGUAUGCCUUCAUUAUAGCAUAUCUCAGCAUUCACAUUGUUAGAGAACUCUUCAAAAUAUCUGAGGACGAAUUUGAUUGAAAAACAUGUUGAUAAGAAAUUUGGGGAAAGUAUUUAGUGUCAAUUGCUUGUAACAGAUGCAUGUUGUCAUAUUCUUUCCAUCGAGAACAAUGUAGCGGGCAAUCACUUCUCUGUUAAU
Non-coding RNA from Carica papaya (papaya), 2012 nucleotides. NCBI's taxonomy places the organism in Eukaryota, Viridiplantae, Streptophyta, Magnoliopsida, Brassicales, Caricaceae. The record is from RefSeq and is a predicted model, not a curated record.